AUAUCUCUCUGUACGGGAAGGAUGAGAAGCUUCGACUAAGGUUCGAUUCGAGCGUCAGCGAGAAAGCGUUGCCGCAGGCAACGACCCGAAGGGCGAA
Molecule: small RNA, 97 nt
Filed under: Salmonella enterica
Lineage: Bacteria; Pseudomonadati; Pseudomonadota; Gammaproteobacteria; Enterobacterales; Enterobacteriaceae
Also listed under: 1 other name
Description: partial RtT sRNA
Rfam family: RtT RNA
About the family: This family represents a bacterial cis-regulatory element known as RtT RNA. The exact function of RtT is unknown although it is thought that it may be involved in changing the cellular response in relation to amino acid starvation.
Source: RNAcentral